CUACGGGCUGCUGCAGUGAGGAAUAUUGCACAAUGGGGGGAACCCUGAUGCAGCAACGCCGCGUGGGGGAUGACGCAUUUCGGUGUGUAAACUCCUUUUAUAUGUCAAGAAAAUGACGGUAGCAUAUGAAUAAGCACCGGCUAACUCCGUGCCAGCAGCCGCGGUAAUACGGAGGGUGCAAGCGUUACUCGGAAUCACUGGGCGUAAAGGACGCGUAGGCGGGUUGGAAAGUCAGGUGUGAAAUCCUACAGCUUAACUGUAGAACUGCACUUGAAACUUCUAAUCUAGAGUAUGGGAGGGGGAGAUGGAAUUAGUGGUGUAGGGGUAAAAUCCGUAGAUAUCACUAGGAAUACCUAAAGCGAAGGCGAUCUCCUGGAACAUUACCGACGCUAAGGCGUGAAAGCGUGGGGAGCAAACAGGAUUAGAUACCCCAGUAGUC
RNAcentral lists this ribosomal RNA (439 nucleotides) under uncultured bacterium. RNAcentral's name for it is "partial 16S ribosomal RNA". It matches the Rfam family "Bacterial small subunit ribosomal RNA", at positions 339 to 795 of the family's 1533-position model. The record is from RNAcentral.